Molecule: small nucleolar RNA, 106 nt
Organism: Humulus lupulus (European hop)
Lineage: Eukaryota; Viridiplantae; Streptophyta; Magnoliopsida; Rosales; Cannabaceae
Source: RefSeq, a predicted model, not a curated record
AUCCAUGCUGUGGGCAUUGACUUAUCAAAUUUCUAAACCUCUCCCAGACUUGAUGGAAAUUGUCAUGGUCUUUCUGGAUGAAGGUUGAGAUUUGCCUCUUUAGGCU